Long non-coding RNA from Dunckerocampus dactyliophorus (ringed pipefish), 1577 nucleotides. RefSeq lists it as uncharacterized. The transcript is spliced from 3 exons. Lineage: Eukaryota; Metazoa; Chordata; Actinopteri; Syngnathiformes; Syngnathidae. The record is from RefSeq and is a predicted model, not a curated record.
UUCUUGCAAUAUAAAUCUCAUCCACUUAAUUUUAUAUAAAUGCUGUUUUUAUUUUAUUUUUUAUUCAAAAAAAUUAUAUUUGCAUUGAAAAAAAAUGUUGUAUUCAAUAUUAAGGGUAAAUGACAAACUGUAAGAUUUGUUUUCCCUUAUAAACAUGCCUUAAAAUUAUGUGCACACUGCAAAGAUGGUCUGACAAAGCACCUCAAAUCCUAAUAAUAAUCAUAAUAAUAAUAAAGUUUUUGGGUGAUUGCUUGCGUGAUAAAAUUAAAACAAACGUGAGGAUAACGCAUAAGCACAAAAAAAUGAACGAGACAAACACUGACUUGCAAUAAAUUGGAAAAAGAACAAGAGGGAUGUCACAUAAGACGUUAUCCAAGCAGGUUAUUACUUAUUCAAACAAAUGCUGCAAUGAAUCUCAUGGCCAUUGUGUAGUGGUGCUCAAAGUCAUACAACAUGCAUGAAGCAUUUCUAUAGUUUGGAGUGCACACUCUGUGCCAAACACCAGGUGCUCAUUUAGCCAUUCAAGCUCUAAGGACCUCCAAUAUCAUUUCGUCACUUUUUUUGGACAUCUAGUGUGAAUAUUUAAACAAAAAAAGGCUCGAGUCCAACCCCUUUUAAAUAAAAUUCACCAUGUUACCGUAGACCAGGUGUUAGGAGUGGAAAACAAAACUUAAAUAGGGUAAAUAAAGUAAUUAACAUUAGAGAGUUAAAAAAAAAAAGAUUUCGUUUGGCAUGCGUGUUUAGAAGUGUCAACAAAAACGAGGCGUGUGAUACAAAUUAAAAACGUAGAAGAAGAAUUAAGACGAAGAAGAACCCGGAAGUAAAAUGGACCACUUAAAAAGCACAAUUUCAUUUACACCCAGUUCCUACGCACAUACUAAAAAAAACCAAAACAUAAUGUAUAUAUGUAUAUACACACACCAUUUAACCAUACGUUUUGUCCAAGUCCAUGCGAAUUGCUGUGUUGUAUUUUACGCAGCCAUAUUCGUGGCCAAAUAGCAAAACAAGAAGCAGUUCCCCAAUUUGGCCCCGUACCCAUUUUAGGCCCGUAGCUCAACACACACACAUGCACACGCUCACAUUCGUGAGUGGAAACAUCAUCGUUGGCCGUGGAAACCUCCCUGGAUUACUCAAGAGCGUUCCCUUGGUGACUGCAUGAGAUCUCGAAUAACAUCUACACACACGCCCGGAAGUUGAACACCAACAAGCAUCUGCGCUGAGGGUGUCUCACCUGGCGGGAAUGUGACACCUGUGGAUCUUCUCUUUUGUGUCCUUGGACCGGCUGCGGCAGACAAAUACCAGUGAUGGCAAAGAGGGGAAACACGUGAUGAUGGCCACAGAAGCUGAAACUGCGACGUAGCAAAGCGGUCCUGGCUGCUCAGUACUGCAUCAGUGCAAAGUCAGUUGACUGUUUUCUGUGAAGAAACGUACCUCCCAGGCUUAUGAAUCCUCCCUCUGCUUCACACUUUCUCAAAGUUAAUAGUGAGUACACAAUUUAUUGUUUUCAAUGUCAUAUCGUGGUUAACUUACACUUAUACUUGCACGACAGUUAAGAAUGUGUGCAGGAAGCCUCCUUA